GUUGAGGUUGCAAAGGCCUUGGAAUUCAAAUCCUUUUGUGCAGAAGAGUGUUUGGGGAUUUCUUCAUCCACAUUUUCUAUGUCAUUGUUGUGGUCACCAGUCCUUUUACUUGAAAUGUGUUGUUCCCAAAGACACCACAAAGCAACUACAAGGCCUCCAAAGAGAACAACACUUGCAACCAUGCAAACCACAAAGAGAAGCCCUUUGUACCACCACUUUAUGAUGUUAAAAGGGUUAAUGUAAAAGGAAUCCAUGAAGCCCACUAAGAUGACAA
This 274-nucleotide unclassified non-coding RNA is filed under the name Hevea brasiliensis (rubber tree). The record is from RNAcentral. Lineage: Eukaryota; Viridiplantae; Streptophyta; Magnoliopsida; Malpighiales; Euphorbiaceae.